Molecule: ribosomal RNA, 755 nt
Filed under: Streptomyces sp.
Lineage: Bacteria; Bacillati; Actinomycetota; Actinomycetes; Kitasatosporales; Streptomycetaceae
Description: bacterial SSU rRNA
Rfam family: Bacterial small subunit ribosomal RNA
Source: RNAcentral
GUGCUUACACAUGCAAGUCGAACGAUGAACCACUUCGGUGGGGAUUAGUGGCGAACGGGUGAGUAACACGUGGGCAAUCUGCCCUUCACUCUGGGACAAGCCCUGGAAACGGGGUCUAAUACCGGAUAACACUGCGGAUCGCAUGGUCUGCGGUUAAAAGCUCCGGCGGUGAAGGAUGAGCCCGCGGCCUAUCAGCUUGUUGGUGAGGUAAUGGCUCACCAAGGCGACGACGGGUAGCCGGCCUGAGAGGGCGACCGGCCACACUGGGACUGAGACACGGCCCAGACUCCUACGGGAGGCAGCAGUGGGGAAUAUUGCACAAUGGGCGAAAGCCUGAUGCAGCGACGCCGCGUGAGGGAUGACGGCCUUCGGGUUGUAAACCUCUUUCAGCAGGGAAGAAGCGAAAGUGACGGUACCUGCAGAAGAAGCGCCGGCUAACUACGUGCCAGCAGCCGCGGUAAUACGUAGGGCGCAAGCGUUGUCCGGAAUUAUUGGGCGUAAAGAGCUCGUAGGCGGCUUGUCACGUCGAUUGUGAAAGCCCGAGGCUUAACCUCGGGUCUGCAGUCGAUACGGGCUAGCUAGAGUGUGGUAGGGGAGAUCGGAAUUCCUGGUGUAGCGGUGAAAUGCGCAGAUAUCAGGAGGAACACCGGUGGCGAAGGCGGAUCUCUGGGCCAUUACUGACGCUGAGGAGCGAAAGCGUGGGGAGCGAACAGGAUUAGAUACCCUGGUAGUCCACGCCGUAAACGGUGGGAACU